RNAcentral lists this ribosomal RNA (868 nucleotides) under Phomatospora viticola. RNAcentral describes it as "eukaryotic LSU rRNA". It matches the Rfam family "Eukaryotic large subunit ribosomal RNA", at positions 41 to 938 of the family's 3401-position model. The record is from RNAcentral. Lineage: Eukaryota; Fungi; Ascomycota; Sordariomycetes; Phomatosporaceae.
AAUCAAUAAGCGGAGGAAAAGAAACCAACAGGGAUUGCCCCAGUAACGGCGAGUGAAGCGGCAACAGCUCAGAUUUGAAAUCUGCCCUCGCGGACCGAGUUGUAAUCUGUAGAGGAUGCUUCUGGCAAGGCGCCGUCCGAGUUCCCUGGAACGGGACGCCGGAGAGGGUGAGAGCCCCGUACAGGCGGACGCCGAGCCUCUGUGAAGCUCCUUCGACGAGUCGAGUAGUUUGGGAAUGCUGCUCAAAGCGGGAGGUACAUUUCUUCUAAAGCUAAAUAUAGGCCAGAGACCGAUAGCGCACAAGUAGAGUGAUCGAAAGAUGAAAAGCACUUUGAAAAGAGGGUUAAAAAGCACGUGAAAUUGUUGAAAGGGAAGCGCCUGUGACCAGACUCGCGCCCGGCGGAUCAUCCGGCGUUCUCGCCGGUGCACUCCGCCGGGCUCGGGCCAGCAUCGGUCCUGGCGGGGGGAUAAAGGCGGCGGGGAUGUGGCUCCCCCCGUGGAGUGUUAUAGCCCGCCGCUCAAUGCCCCCGCCGGGACCGAGGACCGCGCAUUCGCAAGGAUGCUGGCGUAAUGGUCACCAGCGACCCGUCUUGAAACACGGACCAAGGAGUCAAGCAUUAGGGCGAGUGUUUGGGUGUAAAACCCGCACGCGAAAUGAAAGUGAACGUAGGUGGGAGCCUCGGCGCACCAUCGACCGAUCCUGAAGUCUUCGGAUGGAUUUGAGUAAGAGCCUUACCGCUUGGACCCGAAAGAUGGUGAACUAUGCUUGUGUAGGGUGAAGCCAGAGGAAACUCUGGUGGAGGCUCGCAGCGGUUCUGACGUGCAAAUCGAUCGUCAAACAUGAGCAUGGGGGCGAAAGACUAAUCGA